This 443-nucleotide ribosomal RNA is filed under the name uncultured ammonia-oxidizing beta proteobacterium. Its description in RNAcentral is "bacterial SSU rRNA". It matches the Rfam family "Bacterial small subunit ribosomal RNA", at positions 198 to 622 of the family's 1533-position model. Lineage: Bacteria; Pseudomonadati; Pseudomonadota; Betaproteobacteria. The record is from RNAcentral.
GGAGGAAAGCAGGGGAUCGUAAGACCUUGCGCUUUUGGAGUGGCCGAUGCCUGAUUAGCUAGUUGGUGGGGUAAGAGCCUACCAAGGCGACGAUCAGUAGUUGGUCUGAGAGGACGACCAGCCACACUGGGACUGAGACACGGCCCAGACUCCUACGGGAGGCAGCAGUGGGGAAUUUUGGACAAUGGGCGGAAGCCUGAUCCAGCAAUGCCGCGUGAGUGAAGAAGGCCUUCGGGUUGUAAAGCUCUUUCAGUCGAGAAGAAAAGGUUGUGACUAAUAAUCGCAACUUAUGACGGUAUCGACAGAAGAAGCACCGGCUAACUACGUGCCAGCAGCCGCGGUAGUACGUAGGGUGCGAGCGUUAAUCGGAAUUACUGGGCGUAAAGGGUGCGCAGGCGGCUCUGUAAGUCAGAUGUGAAAUCCCCGGGCUUAACCUGGGAAUU